UGGGGAAUAUUGCACAAUGGGCGCAAGCCUGAUGCAGCCAUGCCGCGUGUAUGAAGAAGGCCUUCGGGUUGUAAAGUACUUUCAGCGGGGAGGAAGGGAGUAAAGUUAAUACCUUUGCUCAUUGACGUUACCAGCAGAAGAAGCACCGGCUAACUCAGUGCCAGCAGCCGCGGUAAUACGGAGGGUGCAAGCGUUAAUCGGAAUUACUGGGCGUAAAGCGCACGCAGGCGGUUUGUUAAGUCAGAUGUGAAAUCCCCGGGCUCAACCUGGGAACUGCAUCUGAUACUGGCAAGCUUGAGUCUCGUAGAGGGGGGUAGAAUUCCAGGUGUAGCGGUGAAAUGCGUAGAGAUCUGGAGGAAUACCGGUGGCGAAGGCGGCCCCCUGGACGAAGACUGACGCUCAGGUGCGAAAGCGUGGGGAGCAAACAGG
Molecule: ribosomal RNA, 429 nt
Filed under: Chloroflexota bacterium
Lineage: Bacteria; Bacillati; Chloroflexota
Description: Chloroflexi bacterium partial 16S ribosomal RNA
Rfam family: Bacterial small subunit ribosomal RNA
Source: RNAcentral